AGAUAGUCCUAGGGUCCACCCCCGCCAUCCAAGAGGACAAGUUCUCCCAGAGCCAGGGACGGAUGUUCUUCGUGAGAAAAUCGUAUUGAAAAGACCGUCAUCCAACCUCUUCCACCAUUUGUUAAAACAGGCGCUGGCCCACGACUCUCCCAGACACAGCCCCUUCCCUCCCAACCUGUCUGCACUGGGCCAGCCUCUGGAGGUUUCUGAUUGGAACAGCUGCUCUGGACCUGCUUCUCACCCUCCCCCAUUUCCUGUUUACAAGCUCACACACGGUUUCGUGGAUCCAUCCAUGGUGUGCUCACCAAGUGUGUAGGUCUUUGCAUGGAUUGCUCACAUUUCACUUCUCUGUCCCUUCUGUGGGUGCUGUGGUGGGUGUUUUUAUGAGACAAAGUCUUGUAUAGCUGGAGCUGACCUUGAACCUAAGGAGAAUGAAGGAAUCCAACUAAGGAAUCUGAAGACUACUGGACAAAUGAGACAUGUGAAGAAAAAGGAUGAAUCAUCCAGAGAAAAUGUCCCAAGAAAAGGAGUAAAUUGGCCUGUUGGUAUCUCACAUUUCCAACAGGAUAAAAUGUUAUAAACCUUCUCAAACGUUUGUUUCUACUCUUCUCUACAGACAUAUAAGGCUAAUAGUCUUUUUGUAGUUCCAGUUCAAUUAAAAGUUAAAGCUGGCCUUGGAGCUGGAGCGUGGCGGCUCUCUCCUUCUCUAAACCCAAGCAUGCUUAUUAAAGGAAAAUCCAAACUCUCUGUUUCAUCUUAGAAGAGCCACCUAAUAUGGGACAGAAGAAAAACCAAAAUUAAGAGACUAUUUUAUUGUCACUAAUCUCAUCAUUUUUUUGGUUUUAUUUUGACUCUAAA
This is a non-coding RNA of Peromyscus maniculatus bairdii (prairie deer mouse), 858 nucleotides long. Lineage: Eukaryota; Metazoa; Chordata; Mammalia; Rodentia; Cricetidae. The record is from RefSeq and is a predicted model, not a curated record.